This 935-nucleotide ribosomal RNA is filed under the name Haloarcula vallismortis. Its description in RNAcentral is "bacterial SSU rRNA". It matches the Rfam family "Archaeal small subunit ribosomal RNA", at positions 1 to 937 of the family's 1478-position model. Lineage: Archaea; Methanobacteriati; Methanobacteriota; Halobacteria; Halobacteriales; Haloarculaceae. The record is from RNAcentral.
AUUCCGGUUGAUCCUGCCGGAGGCCAUUGCUAUCGGAGUCCGAUUUAGCCAUGCUAGUUGCACGAGUUGAGACUCGUAGCAUAUAGCUCAGUAACACGUGGCCAAACUACCCUACAGACCGCGAUAACCUCGGGAAACUGAGGCCAAUAGCGGAUAUCACUCUCAGGCUGGAGUGCCGAGAGUGAGAAACGUUCCGGCGCUGUAGGAUGUGGCUGCGGCCGAUUAGGUAGAUGGUGGGGUAACGGCCCACCAUGCCGAUAAUCGGUACAGGUUGUGAGAGCAAGAGCCUGGAGACGGUAUCUGAGACAAGAUACCGGGCCCUACGGGGCGCAGCAGGCGCGAAACCUUUACACUGCACGACAGUGCGAUAGGGGGACUCCGAGUGCGAGGGCAUAUAGCCCUCGCUUUUCUGAACCGUAAGGUGGUUCAGGAACAAGGACUGGGCAAGACCGGUGCCAGCCGCCGCGGUAAUACCGGCAGUCCGAGUGAUGGCCGAUAUUAUUGGGCCUAAAGCGUCCGUAGCUUGCUGUGUAAGUCCAUUGGGAAAUCGACCAGCUCAACUGGUCGGCGUCCGGUGGAAACUACACAGCUUGGGGCCGAGAGACUCAACGGGUACGUCCGGGGUAGGAGUGAAAUCCUGUAAUCCUGGACGGACCACCAAUGGGGAAACCACGUUGAGAGACCGGACCCGACAGUGAGGGACGAAAGCCAGGGUCUCGAACCGGAUUAGAUACCCGGGUAGUCCUGGCUGUAAACAAUGCUCGCUAGGUAUGUCACGCGCCAUGAGCACGUGAUGUGCCGUAGUGAAGACGAUAAGCGAGCCGCCUGGGAAGUACGUCCGCAAGGAUGAAACUUAAAGGAAUUGGCGGGGGAGCACCACAACCGGAGGAGCCUGCGGUUUAAUUGGACUCAACGCCGGACAUCUCACCGGUCCC